AAGUCGUAACAAGGUUUCCGUAGGUGAACCUGCGGAAGGAUCAUUAACACAAACAUAUAUAGCAUGUGUUUUACACAUCUUUAUAUAUUCACCAAACCAUGUGCUCUUUAUUUUCACACCUAAAUCUUUUUGUUUGUUUACUCAAGCAAAAAAACAUGUUGUUUUUAUUAUAUUGUGCUUGUCCAUAUUACAGCAAUGUGGUAUGUGCGGCAUAUUUACGACAUUGUUCAUUCAAUGUUUGUAUAAAAUAUGUAAAUAUACAACUGUUAACAAUGGAUAUCUAGGUUCUC
This 290-nucleotide unclassified non-coding RNA is filed under the name Phylloporus sp. RNAcentral describes it as "partial contains small subunit ribosomal RNA and internal transcribed spacer 1". The stretch from base 1 to 46 matches the Rfam family "Eukaryotic small subunit ribosomal RNA", at positions 1786 to 1831 of the family's 1831-position model. The record is from RNAcentral. Lineage: Eukaryota; Fungi; Basidiomycota; Agaricomycetes; Boletales; Boletaceae.